Molecule: long non-coding RNA, 210 nt
Filed under: Phoenix dactylifera (date palm)
Lineage: Eukaryota; Viridiplantae; Streptophyta; Magnoliopsida; Arecales; Arecaceae
Description: long non-coding RNA (PDAC_LNC023153)
Source: RNAcentral
AUGCACUAACUCCCUUGAACCUCUUUUUCUUUCUUCUCUCUUGAAUGAUCUUGUGUUGGGUUGGUGAGAAGUUGUUGGAAAGCACUUAAGAGCUCCCUUUUAUAGCCCAAAAAACAAAUAUAGCCGUUAGAGAUAAAGUUAAGGGAGUUUGAAAUUCAAACCAAACCUGAAAAAGUUGUCAGUCGCGUCCCAGGCGCUUCGGAGACGUCU